This 21-nucleotide microRNA is filed under the name Apis mellifera (honey bee). Its description in RNAcentral is "ame-miR-9881-5p". Lineage: Eukaryota; Metazoa; Arthropoda; Insecta; Hymenoptera; Apidae. The record is from miRBase by way of RNAcentral.
UACGUCGCGUUUCGAAAGGGA